UUCGAUCAUGGCUCAGAUUGAACGCUGGCGGGAUGCUUUACAUACCUGAUCGUCGAACGGCAGCACGGACUUCGGUCUGGUGGCGAGUGGCGAACGGGUGAAGUAAUGUAUCGGAACGUGCACUGAAAGUGGCGGGGAUAACUACGCGGCGUAGCUAAUACCGCAUACGCCCAUCGGGGGAAAAGCGGGGGACCUUCGGGCCUCGCACUAUUAGAGCGGCCGAUAUCGGAUUAGCUAGUUGGUGGGGUAACAACUCACCUAGGCGACGAUCCACGUAGCUGGUUUGAGGACGGCCAGCCACACUGGGACUGAGACAUGUUGAACUCCUACGGGAGGAGCGACAGUGAAUUUUGGACAAUGGGGGAAACCCUGAUGAUCCAGCCAUCCCGCGUGUGCGAUGAAGGCCUUCGGGUUAUCAACACUUUUGGCAGGAAAGAAACGGCACGGGAUAAUACGUGCAGCUGACUGACACACUGCAGGAAUAAGCACACGGCUAACUACGUGCCAGCAGCCGCGGUAGCGUAGGGGGUGCAAGCGUUAAUCAAGUUACUGGGCGUAAAGCUUGCGCAGGCGGUUCGAAGAAAAGAUGUGAAAUCCCAGAGCUUAACUUUGGAACUGCAUUUUUAACUACCGAGCUAGAAGUGUGUCAGCGGAGGGAGGUGGAAUUCCGCGUGUAGUAGUGAAAUGUAGAUAUGCGGAGAACACGAUGGCGGCAACCUCCUGGGAUAACACUGACUCAUGCACGAAAGCGUGGGAGCAAACGGGAUUAGAUACCUGGUAGUCCACGCCCUAAACGAUGUCAACUAGCUGUUGGGGCCUUCAGGCCUUGGUAGCGCAGCUAACGCGCUGAAGUUGACCGCCUGGGGAAGUACGGUCGCAAGAUUAAAACUCAAAGGAAUUGACGGGGACCCGCACAAGCGGUGGAUGAUGUGGAUUAAUUCGAUGCAACGCGAAAAACCUUACCUACCCUUGACAUGUCUGGAAUCCGAAGAGAUUUGGGAGUGCUCGCAAGAGAACCGGAACACAGGUGCUGCAUGGCUGUCGUCAGCUCGUGUCGUGAGAUGUUGGGUUAAGUCCCGCAACGAGCUUAACCCUUGUCAUUAGUUGCUACGAAAGGGCACUCUAAUGAGACUGCCGGUGACAAACCGGAGGAAGGUGGGGAUGACGUCCAAGUCCUCUUGUGGCCCUUAUGGGUGGGCUACACGUCCUUAAUGGUCCCUUUGCGGGACAGAGGGUCGCCAACCCGGAGGGAGGGAGCCAAUCCCCGAAACCCGAUCGUAGUCCGGAUCGCAGUCUGCAACUCGACUGCGUGAAGUCGGAAUCGCUAGUAAUCGCGGAUCAACAUGUCGCGGUAGACGUACAUUCCAGGUCUUGUACACACCGCCCGUCACACCAUGGGAGUGGGUUUUACCAAGUAGUUAGCCUAACCGUAAGGAGGGCGAUUACCACGGUAGGAUUCAUGGCUGGGGGUGAAGUCGUAACAAGGU
This 1487-nucleotide ribosomal RNA is filed under the name uncultured Bordetella sp. RNAcentral describes it as "partial 16S-23S ribosomal RNA intergenic spacer". It matches the Rfam family "Bacterial small subunit ribosomal RNA". Lineage: Bacteria; Pseudomonadati; Pseudomonadota; Betaproteobacteria; Burkholderiales; Alcaligenaceae. The record is from RNAcentral.